RNAcentral lists this ribosomal RNA (274 nucleotides) under uncultured bacterium. Its description in RNAcentral is "partial 16S ribosomal RNA". It matches the Rfam family "Bacterial small subunit ribosomal RNA", at positions 523 to 796 of the family's 1533-position model. The record is from RNAcentral.
CUACAGAGGGUGCGAGCGUUAAUCGGAUUUACUGGGCGUAAAGCGUGCGUAGGCGGCUUUUUAAGUCGGAUGUGAAAUCCCUGAGCUUAACUUAGGAAUUGCGUUCGAUACUGGGAAGCUAGAGUAUGGGAGAGGAUGGUAGAAUUCCAGGUGUAGCGGUGAAAUGCGUAGAGAUCUGGAGGAAUACCGAUGGCGAAGGCAGCCAUCUGGCCUAAUACUGACGCUGAGGUACGAAAGCAUGGGGAGCAAACAGGAGUAGAUACCCUAGUAGUCC